AGUCCGGGCCGGGCCGGCGCGCCGCGGGAGGGGAGGUCGCCGCGCGCGGGCUCGCAGGGUCGUCUGUCCCCUCCGGGCACUCCCCGCGUGCACUGCCGGCCUUGCACCUUCGCGCGCCCGCAGAGCCUUUGCACCCGUCUUAGGUGCUUCAAAUCCGGGCAGAAUGCUCUGAAGAGAUUGACACAUGUUCAUGGUUCUCAUUAAAGAAGCUUCAUGUAAGGAGUUGAUGCGGACUCAGAGAUAUGUGUGCAAACCUCAAGGGGCAGAAUUUCACACAAACCACUUGACAAGUCGGAGUGGACCUCUUCAAGGUGGAUAUCAGUUCAUUUCACUCUGCUGGACGCUUGAGGUAGAACUCAACUGAGGCAGCCUCACAGUGGGUGCUGAAUAUGGACUCUUGUGCUUCAUUUCUCUUACAAAACCGUGACACCAACCAAGCUAGCAGAAACUGGCAAAAUUAAGUCUGAUCUCCUUAGAAGAUAGUCUCCAUAUUUAAAAGAUAAAGUGGAAACACCAAAUUAAAAAAAAAAAAAAAGGAGUCAAUUUAGAUUUAAUAUAUAAUAUUCCUAAAACCGGAGGCAAAAUAUGCUAAAUGUUUUAUUUUCAAUAUAAAAAAUGAAAAUCACAUUUAUUGAUGAAUUAAGUCAUGGAAAAGUUUUGGAAGAGUUUAACUUUUAAUAGCAAGGCAAAUAUGCGUUAUGAUGCAGUCUGUGAUGUAUUUUUGCCUCUUGAGGUUUUUUUUCCUACUUAUGUUAUAGUCAUAAUACCCCUACAGUUGUAUAAUUCUUUGUGAUAAUUGCUGUUACGAAGAGAAACACCCUAAGAGACACCAAGGAGUUUUAUAUCUAUACUUUCCAUUAGUGGAAAUUAAGCAUAAGGAAAAUAUUCACUUAGUUCUGUUUUCUGCAGUAAUAACUCCUAGCAGUCAUGUAAGCAUGUUCCUUUAUUCAGUUUCAUAGUCUUUAUAAUUUUAGUGCAGAAUUCUGUUAAGGCUCCCAGAUGUCAGAUGCUUGUUCACUCAUUAGGUUGCAAAACUUACUUGACUAAAUUACUAAUAUACAUGUUAUUAUAUACUCCACGAAUGUUACAUGUCUCUGAUAAUUAGUUGUUCUAUGUCAACAUAAGACUUUGCAUUAGAAUUCUAGGAUGUAUGUUUUUAUUAAAAAUCAUAGACAGUCAAGUUAUAUCACUGCUGGGAGCUUAGUGAUCCUGGGAGCCACCAUACUGUGGUUGCCCAUGCCCUGAGCUUGGGGGCUUUGUCCAUGAAAUGAAGCAUAUAUGUGAGCACAGACUUGGAAUAUGGAAGAAAUCAAGUUUCCCCUAAAAACAAAACAAAGCAAAUAAACUACAGCUUCUUCAGAGCAAGAAUUUUAAUUUAAUUUUAAAAAUAAAUGGCCCACAGCAUAAACACUGAACUUCGUCAGCCUACAGAGCCCACUGCAUCACUAUGCCCUGUUUUCCCAUGGCAACUGGAUCAUUCUUGUUCAAAACAUUUUCUAAUCUUAAGUAGUGGAGCUUCAGUAAACCCUGUGGAUUGACUGUGCAGGUGAUACUCUCUAGUAACUCAAACAGAAUAAAGAAUUCAACAUUUUUACAAGGUAUAUCUUUGUCAGGCUAACAUGCUAAGAGAGAUGAGGACUGGUAAUGAGGAUCCAAAGGUUUCUUUUUCUUAAUCCAGAAGCUUCACUUAAAUCAGACCACUUAUAUCAAAAAUGUCCCCAGACACUGUAAGACCUGCACAGAGUUGCUGCCCUAAAACGUGUAGUUAGUGAAAAAUUUGCCUUUGCUGCCAUUUAAAGUAUGGCAGUGCGUUGCAGUGUUAUGUAGUAUAAAUGCUGGACUAGAAGAACUCCACUAUUUUAGAUCAUUAUCAGCAGUGUCUCAAUAUGUGUGUGUGUGUGUGUAUGUAUGUGUAUGUACUAAUGUAUAUAUAUUUUUCACACACUCCCAAUUAAAAGUUGUGUGAAAGCUACAGAAUUACAGAGGCAUCUGUGUUAUCACUUUUGCUUUUUGAUUAAUAAUUUUGCGCUAUUUUGGUUAUUAAGGAAGAAAGGAUAUGGAUACAGUGAUUUAAAAAAUAAUAAUAAAGGAACAAGUUUGCCA
RNAcentral lists this long non-coding RNA (2103 nucleotides) under Canis lupus familiaris (dog). RNAcentral's name for it is "lncRNA (ENSCAFG00000055515.1)". The record is from RNAcentral. Lineage: Eukaryota; Metazoa; Chordata; Mammalia; Carnivora; Canidae.